CCUACGGGAGACAGCAGUGGGGGAUAUUGCACAAUGGGGGAAACCCUGAUGCAGCGACGCCGCGUGUGGGAAGACGGUCUUCUGGAUUGUAAACUUCUAUCAAUAGGGAAGAAAGAAAUGACGGUACCUAAAUAAGAAGCCCCGGCUAACUACGUGCCAGCAGCCGCGGUAAUACGUAGGGGGCAAGCGUUAUCCGGAAUUACUGGGUGUAAAGGGAGAGUAGGCGGCAAGGUAAGCGAUAUGUGAAAGCCUUAAGCUUAACUAAAGGAUUGCAUAACGAACUAUCUAGCUAGAGUACAGGAGAGGAAAGCGGAAUUCCUAGUGUAGCGGUGAAAUGCGUAGAUAUUAGGAAGAACACCAGUGGCGAAGGCGGCUUUCUGGACUGAAACUGACGCUGAGGCUCGAAAGCGUGGGGAGCGAACAGGAUUAGAUACCCUUGUAGUC
This 444-nucleotide ribosomal RNA is filed under the name uncultured bacterium. RNAcentral describes it as "partial 16S ribosomal RNA". It matches the Rfam family "Bacterial small subunit ribosomal RNA", at positions 338 to 795 of the family's 1533-position model. The record is from RNAcentral.